Monodelphis domestica (gray short-tailed opossum) is the source of this 1573-nucleotide long non-coding RNA. The record is from Ensembl. Lineage: Eukaryota; Metazoa; Chordata; Mammalia; Didelphimorphia; Didelphidae.
GUCAAAUAGCUAGGAAGUAUCUGAGGACAGAUGGGAACCCAGGUCCCCUAGUCUCCAGACUUGGCUCUCUAUCCUUUGUUCCUCUAAAUCAUGAUUAAAGAAAUUCAAAUUAGAAGAAUUCUGAAGUGCCACCUCACACCUAUAAGACUGGCAAUUAUGACAAAAAAAGAAAAAUGAUAAAUGUUUGAGGCAAUGUGGGAAAAUUGGGACAUUAAUACACUAUUCAUGAAGCUGUGAACUGAUCCGCCCAUUCUAGAGAGCAACCUGGAACCAUACUCAAAGGACUAUGAAAUUGUGUAUACCCUUUCAUCCAUCAAUACUACUACUAGGUCUUUAUCCCAAAGAGAUUAAAGGAUAGGGGAAAGGGAACUACUUGAACAAAAACAUUUAUAAUAGCUCUUUUUGUGGUGGCAAAGAACUGGAAACUGAAGGGAUGUUCAUCAGCUGGAGAAUGGCUGAACAAAUUAUAAGAUUGUAAUGGAAUACUCUUGUGCCAUAAGAAAUGAUAAACAAAAUGAUCACAUAAAUACCUAAAAAGACAUAUGAAGUGAUACAAAGUGAAGUGGGCAGGACCAGGAGAAUGUUGGACAUAGUAACAACAAUGAAGUACACUGAUCAGCUGUGAAUGACUAUUAUCAACAAGAAGUGAAUCCAGGACAACUCCAAGGAACUAAUGAUGAAAAAGACUAUCAACCACCAUAGAAGGAACUGAUGGAGUCUGAAUACAGAUGGAAGAAGGCCAUUCUUCACCUUAUUUCCUCCAUGAAGGACAUAUAUCAAUCGCUUUCAUAUAAUUUUUUUAAAGAGUACAGGUAAGAGAUGAUCAGAGUCUAAACUGGAUAUUGUUUAUAAAUAGUAAAGAGAAGUGAUAGGAUAAAGGAGAUAUCAAUAUAAUGGAGUUGACAAGGUGUGGUAAUUAAUUGAUAUAUGUUGGAAUAUAAUGGGAAGAGAAGGGUCAUAGAUAACUCACAAGCUACUUUGUUUCCCUUUCAGUUAGGUGGCACCACAGUGCAUAGAGCAUCAGGACAGGAGUUGGGAAGAGAGAGAAAUGAGCCAUGAUGUGAUUAUACAAUUAUUUCUUUGUGUCUUGCUUGUUUGCCAUCACACAUUUCUGGAUUUCAAGACAACUUUUGUAUUGAAAUGAGUUACCAGAUCAAGAAGAAAAAUAUGUUAAGUCUCUAGGACAUCCUUCAGAUACAUACCCUUCUGUCAUCUGACACCACCUCUGAAGAGUUCAGUCUGCACUCCUGCAACAGCUGGCCAAUGGAUCUUCCUGCCUCAAGUUUCUCCACACUCCAAUCCAUCCUCCUUUCAACCACUAAGGCCUAGAGCUGAUGACUCCAUACCUGUGAGUAUCAGCCUUACAGGACUUCAAAUCAGACUGCUCUGCAUUUUGAGACUCAAAAAGAAGGUGAAAUGAGGACUUAUCUACUGGCUGAAAUUUAAAUUUUCCAGGUGGCAGAAGUCCUGGAGAGUUGGAAUCAAAAAAUGGAAAUUUACACUUAAAGAAUCCAGUCUGUGUUUUAUGGAUAUACAUGUGUUCUCUUUGAAAACUGCUCUCUGAAACACCGAG